RNAcentral lists this long non-coding RNA (334 nucleotides) under Ricinus communis (castor bean). Its description in RNAcentral is "long non-coding RNA (RCOM_LNC001518)". Lineage: Eukaryota; Viridiplantae; Streptophyta; Magnoliopsida; Malpighiales; Euphorbiaceae. The record is from RNAcentral.
GAAUUACAAGUACUAACUUUCGACCGGACCGGUUGUUAAGGGGAAAGCCUGUUAAUCAUAUUAGACAACCCAGAAAGGGACUUCUUGAUUGACAACAUAAAUCGUCCAUCUCAUAUUCUCCUCGAUAUGAUGAACAGCCUUCCCUUUCUCGGUCUUAGAUUGUUUAAUAUUUCUCUUAUUCUCCACUUUUCUUCAUCAAAAGCAGAAUUACUUUCCACCUCAACAUUCAUCGGCAGCAAUUUCGUUCCCUUUCUCAGUUUUAGAUUGCGUAUUAUAUGUCUUGUAUUUUACUUGUUAUUUAUCAGCAACAGAAUCGUUUUCCUCCUUAAUAUCA